UAAUCGAGAUUUACACUUUCGGUGUUCUUAUCUAUAAGGGAUUCGCGGAAGCUGUCGUUAAAUGAAAUUCUAAAGUAAGACGUGUACGUCGAAAAAUUUGAAAUGAUCAGCGGUCGGUUGAAAGUUAUGAAAAAGAUAUGUAAUUUUUAUUGCUACGUCACAGUCCAUAAAACUUCUUCCAUUAUCUGCUGAGAUAGAAAUUUGGACACUCGUCCGCAUCUCCUUUGAAAAUUUAUAUCACGAGACCGUGCGCUUGAAUGUUCGCAAAAAUCAUUAAUGUUUCUUUAUAUAUCAGAUUGGUAUCUGCAAUCACCAGUAUUUCUGAUUACUUGUAUUCGUAAAAACAAUGAUGUACAAAGGCAAUCAAAUGUGAUAACGAUAAACGAUUCAACGCUAGUACUUAAACUUGCACAAACAAAAUGUAUCUUUGAGCCUUCGGCGUUUUGCCUAAUGCUGUGUGCGUUACGUGCUUGUUGGUAUAUGUGAUGAAAAACUCCACAAGGAAUUGCUCGUUUUGGAACAUUUGUAAUGAUAGAAACGUUUUGUGCAAAAUAGGAGAGUUGACUUCGCUCAUUAGAAUCAGCGUAACACAAAGCUUUUGUCGGCAAACGAUUUCGACAUACGAAUGCAAAUGAUUUCGAUAAAUACGAAUGGUAAGUUUCAAAUUAUCUACGUAUAAGCGACGAUUCUCAAAGUGAUGUUAUAUAAACGGCUACUAAUAUUAACAAUCGAAUAUAAUAACUAAAUCAUGACAAGUGGAAAAUAAUAUAGUUUUUGUAAAAGCCCUUAUUGUUCCAGUCAAUUGCAAGCAAGCAAAUGCUCUUAGUAUUCAUUUAAGCGUAAUUUGCAAUUUGAUAAAUAUGCGAAGAAUAUUUCUAGCAACAUAAGAUUACAGAAGACUUAAAAAAUAUUUAAUUAUUUUCUUUAUAAAUUUUGCAUUUCUUACCAUUUAAUAACAGUUAUAUAAUUUUAAAGUGCGCAUAGAAAAGAAAGUAACAUAGCCAAGCAACUUUAAUGGAGAUUUUAGAGGGCUUAUGACGACUAUUUUUGCCCAAAACCUGGUGCUGGGGUAGCUCAGCGGCUUCAGGUUUUGUACAAAGAAGAAAUUUCUUGAAAGUAUACCUUUUUAGGGAAAUAUAUUUCAGGAUUUCUUCUUUUACAUUUUAUAUUUUUACACUUCCUCAAAGUAUUCUUCUCUUCGGAAAAUGUAUUUCAGGAAUUUCUCCUUUUCAUUUUACAUUUCACACAUUCCUUCAAAGUAUUCUUUUGUUAGGAAAACCUUUUUCAGGAGUUCUUCAUAUAUCAUAUUUCACAUUUCUUCAAAGUAUUCUCUUCAUAGGAAAAUAUUUUCGUUCCCUAUAUCAAAGCACGCCUACUCCUUCGCUCACCUCGCUACCAAUUUUUUUUUCUGGAAUUUCGUGAGAUUUCUUUCAAGUACAAUUACCCUAAAUUUACCUGAGCGAUCAGCCACUUGUUUGUAGGUUUUCCUUUGAUGAUUUAUACAAAAUUUC
Long non-coding RNA from Glossina fuscipes, 1511 nucleotides. RefSeq lists it as uncharacterized. The transcript has 3 exons. Lineage: Eukaryota; Metazoa; Arthropoda; Insecta; Diptera; Glossinidae. The record is from RefSeq and is a predicted model, not a curated record.